Molecule: unclassified non-coding RNA, 1146 nt
Filed under: Agrilus planipennis (emerald ash borer)
Lineage: Eukaryota; Metazoa; Arthropoda; Insecta; Coleoptera; Buprestidae
Description: lIRP-like, transcript variant X2
Source: RNAcentral
AUAGUGUUUGGAAAGAUAAAGUCAACUAGUGUAUUUGUAUGUAUUAAACAACAUUACAAUAGAAUGUACAUCGUAAAUACCAGUUGAAUAUUCGCGUUCGUCAAUCUCUUUAUAUUUUGAAGAUUUUCUAUCUAAAGUUAGUGUGAAUACAAGAAAAUAUGUACAACUUUUUGUACUUAAUUUACAACGUGUAAAGGGGUUAGUGCUAAGGCGGACUGCGCCUUAAAUUUCAAUGAAUGAACACGUCUUAACAAUUAAUAUCCAGCGACAGGGGUACUAUAAAGCUUUCAAUAUUUUCGCUUAACAUCAACAAGUGUUUUUGGCUUCACACGAAUAACAUCAGGCGAAAACCAAACAGGUUUUCAAAUAGGUAGCAGUUAUCAAAAUUUUGUUCGUCUACUAACAGUUACAGUUAUUAAAGAAAUUUGUUUUUCAUUCUGAAGUCAUGAAGUUUUUCUCGCUACUUCUUUGUAUUAUUGUAAUGGUGUGGUGCUGUCAAAAAACGAGCGCUGAUAGUGCCCAAAGUAUUAGCAUUGCGACUGAUGGUUUAACCGAGGAAAGAAUGAAAAAUAUCAAAGGCGUUUAUUGUGGUUCGAGGCUGUCUGGCACAAUUUCUAUGAUUUGCAACUACGGCGGCAGAAUUAAAAGAACUAAUGGGGGAGGAUAUGAUGGAAAUGGUUUUUCAAACAGUUUGGAAAAUGCACGAAUUUUCGAUACUAAAUCUGUACGGCUCCCUUUGUUGCCGAAGGAAUUAGCUCAUUUAAUGUUCCCCAAAAAAUAUGAGAAACGAAUUCCCGGUGCACAGUUCCAAACUAGGAUCCGUGCGGUUGACGAGUGUUGCAAAAAAUCAUGUAGUUUGUGGGAACUGAGUUCUUACUGCGACUGAAACUGGAGUGUAUCUGAUGGGACUUUUCCUAUACGAAGAGAAUAUUGUCAAAAAGAUCUGGGCUACUUUUUACCACAAGAUUAAUUAUUAGCUGCGAGGUUAGUGAUUAUUCAAAAUAAAAUUAAACGUUUUUUUACCACUGGCAAUAAAAUUAUUGCAUGAUAAAAGGUAUUUUCUGGUGUAUAGAUAAGAACGAAUCAAAAUCAGCAAAAAUUGACAGGGGAUUGAGAAAAUAACAUAUCUAUGAUCGUUAUUACAAA